UAUAAAGAGAUAUAGGAAGAUGUGGUGUGAGUGCCAAUGAGACAACUCUCCAUCCAAAUAACAAUUUAAAAAAAGUAAACCAUUAUAGGUCAAUGUACGGCCUUCAACACGGAGCCUUGGCUCACACCGAACAACAAGCUAUAAAGGGCCCCAAAAUUACCAGUGUAAAACCAUUCAAACGGGAAAACUAACGGUCUAAUCUAUAUAAAAAAAACGAGAAACGAGAAACACGUAUACAUUACAUAAACAAA
Molecule: long non-coding RNA, 251 nt
Filed under: Mytilus galloprovincialis (Mediterranean mussel)
Lineage: Eukaryota; Metazoa; Mollusca; Bivalvia; Mytilida; Mytilidae
Source: RNAcentral